ACCGAAUCCUGGCUCUGUAGAUGGAUCGGGAUGAAGAAUUACUUAUUCUUCUCCCUCCCCCGCCGCGCGCCGCCCCAUCCCUCCCCGCCGGCGAUUCGCCUCCUCCCUCCCCCGCCGCCGCGCUGCCAGCCUCCUACUUCCCCCGCCUGAUGCACCCCGAUGCCGCCGGACCAGACCCAUGCCGCGGCGACCCCAACUUACCCCGCCUUUCUCCUUCCUCCAGCGCGCAGCCCCGCCACCCCCUCCCCCCAGCGCGCAGCCCCGCAGCCCCUCCCUCCCCCCAGCGCGCAACCCCGCAGCCCCUCCCUCCAGUGCGCCGCCCGGCAUCCCCUCCCUCGAGCGUGCCGCCCCGCCAUGGUCCUCCCUCCAGUGUGCCGCCAGACCACGCUCUACGCAGCGCUUCCACGGGAUCCUCUGCACGCAGCCGGCGUCUCACCUCACGCCGCCGCACAACAUCUUCCUUGCUUGUCGGCGUCAUACAGGUUUCUUCGGCCGCCGCCCCGCCUGACCCAACUACCUCGCAUUUGCACUGGGACCGGCCUUCAUCGAAGUUUCUCCCAAUCCUUCGACCUCGUCGUGCCAUGCAGCAUGCUUCAGUUCAAGAAAAAUCUCAAUAAAAGUUCAGAGUAGUUCACACUUCAGUUAGCACCUGGCGUCGGCCGAGGCAACCAUCCCCACCUCCCCUGACCAGAUCCUCCAUGGCCCUCGGCCACGAGCUCGUCCACCAUGGUUACUCGCAGUCGUCCAAGUGGAGCACGGACAUCAGUCCAAGUAGAAUUGAAGCCACCAUCUUCACCAAGCUCUGCGUAGCCGUCCAAGUUGAGCACACACAACAAUCCAAGACCACUUAUUGGAAUUGGGGCUGCAAUUAAAGUAGCAAAAAUAUGAUGUAUUUCAAAUAUCAUGUUGAAAACAAGGAAGCUAACGACUCUUCAUCUCAAGGUAACUAGUUUCUGAACCUAUUAUCUAAAACUAAAAUUCUCAAGUUCCAAAACCUAAACAAACUUUGUGUUUAUUUUGAAUGAUAUUGUUCAUUAAACUUUUUUAGAGAGCAUCAGUUAAUGCUUAGUAGGCUAGAAUAAAAACUCUGAAUCAUGUAUCUUCUACAGCUAGCUUAUGUUGUCUUUGAAAUUGUUAUAAAUCAUUUCACAUUAAUAUUUUGUAUGUAUCAAUGGACUUGAAUAGUCCACCUGUGUGCUCUGCCGCUGGUCGUUCAGGAAGCUAACCCCUGAGCUCCCGAUCCCUCACCCUUCUCUCUCUCUCUCUCUCUCUGUGUGUGUGUGUGUGUGUACCAUUCAUUUGUUAGGGUGUGUUCCUUGUAAAUUCUCUCUCCCCUCUCUCAUUUCAUUUAUGUUCAGGAUACAAUGUGCAAGAUGGAAAAAAGUGUGUAUCGUGUAGUUCAUGUUUAGAUGUCGGGCAAGCUAAAAAAUUAGGGCUCAAGAAAUAAAAAAACCUGAACCACCGGGAAGGUCGCUGGAAACAAAUCCUCUAUAAGUUCACCAGUCCAUUCAUGAUAAGAUAUUCUAUGGAACAUUUGCAAACAGUAGGGAUUUUGUUUUUGGGUGUUUUCCGUUGAUCUGUGCUCAAGAAACAUGAGAGUCCUAUUGAUUAUUAGUGAGAGUACAAGCUCAGAGUUUGCAAGCCUUUUGUGAUUCUUAAGUGCAUAUGAUGUCUUACACUUGAUCUCUGAACUUCAGGUAAGUUCAUGUUGACACUAUAUCAAUCCUGAUGUAGAAAUGUAUGUCUGAUGUCAAGUUUUUCUUUCGGUUCAGUUCAAUAUCUAAAAUCCGUUCAAUUCAAUUCUUAUGUGUGGUCCAGGCAAUGUGUCGCACAGCCACCAACCUCCUCUGGUUGGACCGCAGCACCACCGGCCCGUCCACAACGGUUGCUGGCAGCCGUCCAAGUUGAGCGCUGAUGGUAGUCCUCUGCGUGCGUCAACGACACUCUCACAUCAAUCUCUCCCACUUUUCUUCUGCUAUUAAAAUGCAUACAUGUGUUCUGCUAAUUGAGUAGUUGGAGAUAUGUGAAAAGAACACGCUCUUUAGGUGUUCAGUACAAUUUAUUAAUUUAGUUCAGUUCAAAAAUCUUAUCUUAACAGUGUAAUAUACAUUGUUGGCAAAAGAUGACUAGUUGUUAUAGCAAAAA
Aegilops tauschii subsp. strangulata is the source of this 2145-nucleotide non-coding RNA. The record is from RefSeq and is a predicted model, not a curated record. Lineage: Eukaryota; Viridiplantae; Streptophyta; Magnoliopsida; Poales; Poaceae.